This 590-nucleotide ribosomal RNA is filed under the name Trichoderma afroharzianum. RNAcentral describes it as "eukaryotic LSU rRNA". The stretch from base 241 to 394 matches the Rfam family "5.8S ribosomal RNA". Lineage: Eukaryota; Fungi; Ascomycota; Sordariomycetes; Hypocreales; Hypocreaceae. The record is from RNAcentral.
AACAAGGUCUCCGUUGGUGAACCAGCGGAGGGAUCAUUACCGAGUUUACAACUCCCAAACCCAAUGUGAACGUUACCAAACUGUUGCCUCGGCGGGAUCUCUGCCCCGGGUGCGUCGCAGCCCCGGACCAAGGCGCCCGCCGGAGGACCAACCAAAACUCUUAUUGUAUACCCCCUCGCGGGUUUUUUUAUAAUCUGAGCCUUCUCGGCGCCUCUCGUAGGCGUUUCGAAAAUGAAUCAAAACUUUCAACAACGGAUCUCUUGGUUCUGGCAUCGAUGAAGAACGCAGCGAAAUGCGAUAAGUAAUGUGAAUUGCAGAAUUCAGUGAAUCAUCGAAUCUUUGAACGCACAUUGCGCCCGCCAGUAUUCUGGCGGGCAUGCCUGUCCGAGCGUCAUUUCAACCCUCGAACCCCUCCGGGGGGUCGGCGUUGGGGAUCGGCCCUGCCUUGGCGGUGGCCGUCUCCGAAAUACAGUGGCGGUCUCGCCGCAGCCUCUCCUGCGCAGUAGUUUGCACACUCGCAUCGGGAGCGCGGCGCGUCCACAGCCGUUAAACACCCAACUUCUGAAAUGUUGACCUCGGAUCAGGUAGGA